Molecule: ribosomal RNA, 497 nt
Filed under: uncultured bacterium
Lineage: Bacteria
Description: partial 16S ribosomal RNA
Rfam family: Bacterial small subunit ribosomal RNA
Source: RNAcentral
GAUGAACGCUGGCGGCGUGCCUAAUACAUGCAAGUCGAGCGAACGGACGAGAAGCUUGCUUCUCUGAUGUUAGCAGCGGACGGGAGAGUAACACGUGGAUAACCUACCUAUAAGACUGUGAUAACUUCGGGAAACCGUAGCUAAUACCGGAUAAUAUUUUGAACCGCAUUGUUCAAAAGUGAAAGACGGUCUUUCUGUCACUUAUAGAUGGAUCCGCGCUGCAUUAGCUAGUUGUUAAGGUAACGGCUUACCAAGGCAACGAUGCAUAGCCGACCUGAGAGGGUGAUCGGCCAGACUGGAACUGAGACACGGUACAGACUCCUACGGGAGGCAGCAGUAGGGAAUCUUCCGCAAUGGGCGAGAGCCUGACGGAGCAACGCCGCGUGAGUGAUGAAGGUCUUCGGAUCGUAGAACUCUGUUAUUAGGGAAGAACAUAUGUGUAAGUAACUGUGCACAUCUUGACGGUACCUAAUCAGAAAGCCACGGCUAACUACGUG